ACGAUAAAAGAUAAAAAAGAUAAAAGAUAAAAGAUAAUUUAUUUUGCAAAUAUGGGUACAUACAUGAUGGAGUUACACAUAAAUAGGGUUCUGCCAUAUUUUACCAAAUUGGCAUGCAAAAACAAAAAAAAAUUAAAUACACUAACUAAAAAACAAAAAUCUAAUCUAAAACACACUUAAAAUUAAAAAUUAUGUAUGCCUACUUGGAAGGGUAAAAUCCAUCUCAUUAAAAAAAUCAUUAAUACUGUAGUAGGCUUUAUAGGCCAAGAAUUUACGUAAUGUCUUCUUAAAAAGCAAUAGGGGCAGUUCUUUCCAGGCCUUGGGACAUUUAUUAUAAAUUAUAGGUGCCAUACAGAAGACACUUUUGCGCAUAAGUGCUGUUCCGGCACUAUGAAGACAUACCCUGCUGUUGUCCCGUCUAUUACGAGGAACUACGUCAUCUAACCGUUUGAAACGAUCCGGAUUAGAUUUGACAAAGACUGCUAUUUCUAAAAUGUAUAUACAUGGCAAAGUUAAUAUAGCAUAUUUUUUGAAGAAGGGUACGCAGCUGUCGGUGGGUUUCAGUUUAAAACUGGAUCGUAUGCAUCUCUUCUGAGCCUUGAACACGGUUUCCCUUUCCGUCGAGUUGCCCCAAAACAUGACGCCGUAUCGUAAAUGGGAUUCUGCUAAGCCAUAAUAUGCUGUCAAUAAUGCCUCCACACCAAUUAUACAUGACAGUGUGUGUAAGGCGUAAGCCGAUUUACUUAAUUUCUUGCACAAAAAAUCAAUAUGGGGUUUCCAGUUCAGUUUUUUAUCUAUACGGAGUCCAAGAAAUUUUGUAGUAUCAACCUCUUCUACAGCUUGAUUAUCAUAAAAUAUAUUUAAGUUACUUUUAUCAUUAAUCCGUUGACUAAAGUGUAUUCUUUUAGUUUUAAGUAAGUUAAUUUUCAAAUUGUUGUUAUCUAGCCAUUUUACUAUUUGAUUUAUAGAUUCAUUAAUAUCAUUUUCAUAUGUCUCCGGUUUAUUACACGGUAUCGUUAAUGUGCUAUCAUCAGCAAAUAAUGUCAAGUGUUGCGGGAUGCAUUUCGGUAGGUCAUUUAUGUACAAAAUGAAUAAAAGAGGACCCAGUACACUACCUUGUGGUACACCAAAUGAGAUUUUACGUUCAGUGGAUUGAUAAACAAUGUCAUGUUUACUUUUCAUAUCGAUUUUAUUUAUUUCUGUUAUUUGGGUUCUGUUUUGUAGAUAAGAUUUAAUAAGAUUGUUAAUAUUCCCCCUAAUGCCAUAUGAUUCAAGUUUAUUUAGAAGUGUACCAUAGUGCACAUAGUCAAAGGCUUGGGUCAUAUCACAAAAUAGGCCGCAGAUCGGUUUUCUCUUAUCAACAUUCUUUGCAACAUUGUACAAAAAAUCAUAAAUGGCCAUGUUAACUGUCUUGCCAAGUCUAAAUCCUUUUUGCUCCUCGCAAAGAAAUUUGUUUUUUUCAAUAAAUGUAUAUAAUUCCUUGUAAAUAUAUUUCUCAAAUACUUUAGCAAUUAUGGGAAUGAGUGAUAUGGGCCUAUAAUGCUCCAUUAUCUCUCUAUCAUCCUUUUUGAAGAGUGGUCUGACAAUUGCUACUUUUAAAGCGUCAGGAAACACACCUUCGCUAAUGCUGAGAUUAAUUAUGUGUGAUAAGUGACCGCAAAUUUCAUCAGACACAUGUUUUAGUAUUUUAGUAGCGAUACCGUCAUAUCCCACACUGUUUGUACUAUUUAGAGACAUAAUGAUUUUUUUAAUAUCGUACGGUAUGCUAGGGGCCAUAAACAUUGAUUUAUUAUUGAAAGCUAAGGUAGCUGUUUUAGGUCUGGAGUUGGCAGGAAGUUUAGGCUGUAUUUUGUCAAUAAAAAAAUUAUUAAAUGCUUCUGCAAUAGCUUCGGGAUUUGAUAUGACAUCAUUAUUUACUUUAAUUUUGUUUAUAUUAGCUCUAGGUACGUUAAACUUCGCACGAUUGAUAAUUUGCCACGCGGUUUUAGAUUUAUUUUUUGAUGUUUUUAUACUAUAAUUGUUUUGUGCUUUUUGUGUCAAAUUAAUUAUUUUUUUAUAUACUUUAGAAUAUAUAGCAAGCCUAGUUUUAUCACUUUUAUUACGGUUAAGCCUAUACUGCCACAAUAGUUUCCUUUUCUUUUUGCUGCAUAUUUUGAUCCCUUUUGACAACCAUUUAGUUUUUCUAAUUGUAUUUAUUUUUAAGUAAGUCAUUGGGAAACACAAUUCGUAGAGUAACUUGAAAGUUUCAAUAAAAUUAUUAUAGGCAACAUUUGGAUCAUCCGUGCUAUAUACUUCUGAAAAAGUGAGACUUUUUAAAUGGUUUUUAAAUUUUAGUAUAUUCUCUACGCUAUAAUCCCUUCUUUUAGUGUACCAAUAUUUGAGACAACAUGUUUUUUGUACUGGACAUUUCAAUAUCUGUGCGGUGUGGUCUGACAAUGCAAGCUCCGCUACCUCAGUCUUACAUGCCUUAACAUUAUGCGCAAAGUUGUCUAUACACGAUAAACUGGCCAUGCGAGUGGGUUGUUUCAAAGCAAGUUGUAAAUUGUAGCUCAUAAGAAGACAUUCAAAAGCAUUCGUAACAUUGUUUGGUUUUAGUACAUCUAUAUUGAAAUCUCCGCAGAUAAUAAUGUUUUUACAAUGUGUAUGAAGUAAUUCCUGCAAGAGCGUUUCAAGUCUAUCAAAGCAAUGGUUUAGGUUGUUUGUGUUCGGAAUUCUAUAUACACAUACAAUUAUUAUUUUAUAGCUGGUGAGUUCCACACCACAGCACUCAAACAUGCCAGGAAUGGAUAACUUUGCUACUUUCGUUCAAACCAAACCAACUUAAUUUCUCUAUCUGUCGCCGAGUGUCGUUGAACCCGUGUCGGUAAAACAGCUUGUGCAGUGUUUCCGAUAUUACUCACAAGAGGCGCUGCAUGAGGCGAUGGCACGGAUUUCAAAUGCUCGAGAGAAAAAAAACGGUCUUAAUUUUUUCUCAUUCACAACAGAAGAAGUUUUAUUCACUGUUUGAUAACAAACACUGUUUUAAUGUACACUUAUGAUGUAAAACUUCUUAAUUGUUUUGAGUUUCUUGAACAAGACACCAAGAAAACUGUUAUUACAAAAAAUACACUAUCACUUUAUUA
Molecule: long non-coding RNA, 3122 nt
Filed under: Helicoverpa zea (corn earworm)
Lineage: Eukaryota; Metazoa; Arthropoda; Insecta; Lepidoptera; Noctuidae
Description: uncharacterized LOC124636457
Source: RNAcentral